UCAGGCCUCGACACCGGAGCACCGGCGCUGGUGCAGGCGCGGGUUUGGUUUCAACCGGUGCAGGCGCGGAGGCCUCGCUUUGUGCCUGCUCCUUCAUUUCGACCAGUUUCUGCAUGUCCUCGACCUGCUUUUCAAGCAUGGCGACACGCUGUCCCGAUUCCUGCAGCGCCUUCUCGCGUGCGGUCGCAUCCUCUUCCUGGGCACGCAAUUUUUCCUGCAGGACCCGGGCUUCGUCCGCCUUCGCCGUGGAUGCGGCAGAGGGCGGCGUGACCUUGGACAGCUUCAACACGUCUUUUUGUGCAUCGGUUGCCGGUUUGGCGCGAUCUUCCACCUUGGGUGUGAUCUUGCCACUGCUGGCCUGGUCAGGUGCGGGCUUGGCUUCGGGCGCGGCACUGACUGCGCCGGCCAACUUCUGACGAUAUGCACGCCAGUCUUCAGCCUGCAAUCUGAUUUCACGGACCGCUUCUUUUUGCGAAAUCUCGGCAACCUGGUCGGCCGUGGGCAUAUUGAGCGUCUUGCCCGCUUUCAUCCGGUUCAUGUUUCCGUUGAACGCAUCGGCAUUUUCACGGUACAGGCCCAGCAGCGUCUGCUCCAGGCUAACGCCUUCGGGACGCACCCGGCUGGCGAUCCCGACCAGCGUAUCGCCCCGCUUGAUCAGCACGCUGGCCGGCGAAGCCGCCUGCGAGGCAGGCGUCUGCGGAGCUGGGGCCGGCUUGCGGGGUGCCGGCGCAGCCGCCUUGGGUGCGGCAGGCGCCGCUGUGGCCUGGGGCACCGGGAGCGGGGACCGCCGCAACAGCGGCAGGCGCUUUGGCAGCAGUGC
Molecule: ribosomal RNA, 820 nt
Filed under: uncultured Thiobacillus sp.
Lineage: Bacteria; Pseudomonadati; Pseudomonadota; Betaproteobacteria; Nitrosomonadales; Thiobacillaceae
Description: partial 16S ribosomal RNA
Source: RNAcentral